This 90-nucleotide transfer RNA is filed under the name Chlamydiota bacterium. RNAcentral's name for it is "Chlamydiae bacterium tRNA-Ser". It matches the Rfam family "tRNA". Rfam says of the family: Transfer RNA (tRNA) molecules are approximately 80 nucleotides in length. Their secondary structure includes four short double-helical elements and three loops (D, anti-codon, and T loops). Lineage: Bacteria; Pseudomonadati; Chlamydiota. The record is from RNAcentral.
UGGAGAAGUGUCCGAGUGGCCGAAGGAGCACGCUUGGAAAGCGUGUAAACGUGAUAAGCGUUUCGUGGGUUCGAAUCCCACCUUCUCCGA